This 77-nucleotide small nucleolar RNA is filed under the name Mesocricetus auratus (golden hamster). RNAcentral describes it as "Small nucleolar RNA SNORD115". It matches the Rfam family "Small nucleolar RNA SNORD115". From Rfam's summary of the family: HBII-52 is a member of the C/D class of snoRNAs, which contain the C (UGAUGA) and D (CUGA) box motifs. HBII-52 is encoded in a tandemly repeated array with another C/D snoRNA, HBII-85, in the Prader-Willi syndrome (PWS) region of chromosome 15. HBII-52 is exclusively expressed in the brain but is absent in PWS patients. The record is from Rfam by way of RNAcentral. Lineage: Eukaryota; Metazoa; Chordata; Mammalia; Rodentia; Cricetidae.
GGGUCUAUGGUGACAACCAAAGGCAUGAAGAGAGGUAAUGACAAAAUAUCAUGCAGAGGUUGUGGCUGCUGAGGCCC